Molecule: long non-coding RNA, 234 nt
Filed under: Gossypium raimondii (Peruvian cotton)
Lineage: Eukaryota; Viridiplantae; Streptophyta; Magnoliopsida; Malvales; Malvaceae
Description: long non-coding RNA (GRAI_LNC009228)
Source: RNAcentral
AGUGGUAGCCUAGCUACACUUAUCUGAUCAGGGACAAGUGAUAAGUGAUCAUAAGUAAGACCAUAGUUAUACUAUGGCAAAGUGGAAGUGAAUUACUCAAUUUUCCGUAACCGUUCCCUAAUUUGUUUAAGGAUUGUAAAUGACAAAUGGGCCCAAAAGAAUUAAAGCAAAUGGAUAAGUGGUAGUGUAUUUAUACCUGGAUGAUGUUGUUAUUUAAGCUAAAGUGAUAUUUUC